This 233-nucleotide ribosomal RNA is filed under the name uncultured bacterium. Its description in RNAcentral is "partial 16S ribosomal RNA". It matches the Rfam family "Archaeal small subunit ribosomal RNA", at positions 745 to 981 of the family's 1478-position model. The record is from RNAcentral.
UCCUGGCCGUAAACGAUGUGGACUUGGUAUUGGGAUGGCUACGAGCUGUCCCAGUGUCGUAGGGAAGCCGUUAAGUCCACCGCCUGGGGAGUACGGUCGCAAGGCUGAAACUUAAAGGAAUUGGCGGGGGAGCACUGCAACGGGAGGAGCGUGCGGUUUAAUUGGAUUCAACGCCGGAAAGCUUACCGGGGGAACUGCCGGAUGUGAGCCAGGCUGAAGUUGCUCGAAUAAUA